CCAAUAGCGUAUAUUAAAGUUGUUGCAGUUAAGAAGCUCGUAGUUGAAUUUCGGGAUCAAUAUAUCGGUCGUGCCUUCGGUACGUACUGGUAUCGUUGAUUUCUACCUUCUGACGAACCAUGAUGUCAUUAAUUUGGUGUCAUGGGAAAUCAGGACUGUUACUUUGAAAAAAUUAGAGUGUUUAAAGCAGGCACACGCUUGAAUACAUUAGCAUGGAAUAAUGAAAUAGGACGUUUGACCCUAUUUUGUUGGUUUUUAGGAUCGACGUAAUGAUUAAUAGGGAUAGUUGGGGGCAUUAGUAUUCAAUUGUCAGAGGUGAAAUUCUUGGAUUUAUUGAAGACUAACUACUGCGAAAGCAUUUGCCAAGGAUGUUUUCAUUAAUCAAGAACGAAAGUUAGGUGAUCGAAGACGAUCAGAUACCGUCGUAGUCUUAACCAUAAACUAUGCCGACUAGGGAUCGGAUGAUGUUAAUUUUUUAAUGACUCAUUCGGCGCCUUACG
This 500-nucleotide ribosomal RNA is filed under the name uncultured Glomeromycotina. RNAcentral describes it as "partial small subunit ribosomal RNA". It matches the Rfam family "Eukaryotic small subunit ribosomal RNA", at positions 591 to 1092 of the family's 1831-position model. Lineage: Eukaryota; Fungi; Glomeromycota. The record is from RNAcentral.